GGCAAUGGACGAAAGUCUGACCCAGCCAUGCCGCGUGCAGGAAGACUGCCCUAUGGGUUGUAAACUGCUUUUAUAUAGGAAGAAACACACCUACGUGUAGGUGUCUGACGGUACUAUAAGAAUAAGCAUCGGCUAACUCCGUGCCAGCAGCCGCGGUAAUACGGAGGAUGCAAGCGUUAUCCGGAAUCAUUGGGUUUAAAGGGUCCGUAGGCGGUCUGAUAAGUCAGAGGUGAAAUCCUGCAGCUCAACUGUAGCAUUGCCUUUGAUACUGUUAGACUUGAGUUAUUGUGAAGUAGUUAGAAUGUGUGGUGUAGCGGUGAAAUGCAUAGAUAUCACACAGAAUACCGAUUGCGAAGGCAGAUUACUAACAAUACACUGACGCUGAGGGACGAAAGCGUGGGUAGCGAACAGGAUUAGAUACCCUGGUAGUCCACGCCGUAAACGAUGGAUACUAGCUGUUCGGAUUUAUCUGAGUGGCUAAGCGAAAGUGAUAAGUAUCCCACCUGGGGAGUACGUUCGCAAGAAUGAAACUCAAAGGAAUUGACGGGGGCCCGCACAAGCGGUGGAGCAUGUGGUUUAAUUCGAUGAUACGCGAGGAACCUUACC
Molecule: ribosomal RNA, 606 nt
Filed under: uncultured Bacteroidota bacterium
Lineage: Bacteria; Pseudomonadati; Bacteroidota
Description: bacterial SSU rRNA
Rfam family: Bacterial small subunit ribosomal RNA
Source: RNAcentral